GAUGAGCAUGCGUCCAAUUAGCUAGUUGGUGAGGUAACGGCUCACCAAGGCUACGAUUGGUAGGGGUUCUGAGAGGAUGAUCCCCCACACUGGUACUGAGACACGGACCAGACUCCUACGGGAGGCAGCAGUGAGGAAUAUUGCGCAAUGGACGGAAGUCUGACGCAGCCAUGCCGCGUGAAGGAUUGAAGGUCCUAUGGAUUGUAAACUUCUUUUGUAUGGAAAUAAACUUCCGGACGUGUCCGGAACUGAAGGUACCAUAAGAAUAAGCACCGGCUAACUCCGUGCCAGCAGCCGCGGUAAUACGGAGGGUGCAAGCGUUAUCCGGAUUUAUUGGGUUUAAAGGGUCCGUAGGCGGACGUUUAAGUCAGUGGUGAAAGCCCUCUGCUCAACAGAGGAAUUGCCAUUGAUACUGAAUGUCUUGAGUACGAGUGAAGCUGGCGGAAUGUGCAGUGUAGCGGUAAAAUGCUUAGAUAUUGCACAGAACACCAAUUGCGAAGGCAGCUGGCUAACUCGAAACUGACGCUGAGGGACGAAAGUGUGGGGAUCAAACAGGAUUAGAU
RNAcentral lists this ribosomal RNA (563 nucleotides) under uncultured bacterium. Its description in RNAcentral is "bacterial SSU rRNA". It matches the Rfam family "Bacterial small subunit ribosomal RNA", at positions 224 to 783 of the family's 1533-position model. The record is from RNAcentral.